UUAUUUAUAAUUGUAUAUGUGUGUGUGUUGACAGGUGUCGGUUGGCCUCCUAGCCGGGUGUGCAAAUGUAGGCUGAUUUCUGUUUUUGUUUAUUUGUAGAGGUAAUACGUCCAGAGUGUACUGGCAGAGGUGUAUGGCCAGCAUUGCACCGGUUAAGCAUGUGUGGGAGUUUGAUAUGGAGCGCCAAGGUGCUGAAUGUUACUCAAUAAAGUAUUCAUGUGGCACUUGGUGACUGUAUCUACCCGAUCCAUACAAUUCAGCACCUGCUACCCAUGGUUGAGGGAACUUUGAUUGGACAUUCUACACAUCCCUGCUAGUCAAGAUGGAUCGAGCCAAGACAGUGCGUACAUCGGAGAGGAGGAAAUUCAACCGAACCCUGAAACUGUUCGACGAGAGUGUGAAGCAAGACGACUCGACAGAGAUUUUGAAGCCUGCAUUUGAUGAGAGGUAAUACGUCCAGAGUGUACUGGCAGAGGUGUAUGGCCAGCAUUGCACCGGUUAAGCAUGUGUGGGAGUUUGAUAUGGAGCGCCAAGGUGUAAGUUACUGUAUUGAUUAAUCAUAUGUACUUAUAUUUAUGAUGAAUUUGGCAAUGUUAUAGUGGGAUAUACUGUAUGUUUGUAUUUGUAAUGGAGUUAGUGUUAUUGCUGUGUUGGGUACAAUGGACUGCUUACAUUUUAUAUUUGAUUUUACGAAUAUUGCUGUGUUGUUUUGCAUAUUUUAUUAGGAUUACAUUUUAAGUGUCUGUUUACAAUUUGGAGGUUUGUUUUAAUUUGGAAACUUGUUUACAGGCUGAAUGUUACUCAAUAAAGUAUUCAUGUGGCA
Molecule: long non-coding RNA, 823 nt
Organism: Macrobrachium nipponense
Lineage: Eukaryota; Metazoa; Arthropoda; Malacostraca; Decapoda; Palaemonidae
Exons: 3
Source: RefSeq, a predicted model, not a curated record